This 2862-nucleotide ribosomal RNA is filed under the name Sagittula salina. Its description in RNAcentral is "Bacterial large subunit ribosomal RNA". It matches the Rfam family "Bacterial large subunit ribosomal RNA". Lineage: Bacteria; Pseudomonadati; Pseudomonadota; Alphaproteobacteria; Rhodobacterales; Roseobacteraceae. The record is from Rfam by way of RNAcentral.
AAUCAAGCGCGAGAAGGGCGUUUGGUGAAUGCCUUGGCAGCAAGAGGCGAUGAAGGACGUGAUACUCUGCGAUAAGUCAUGGGGAGCCGAGAAUAGGCCUUGAUCCAUGAAUUUCCGAAUGGGGCAACCCACCUGAUACUCUGUUAUAAUUGCCUUGCGGCAGCUUAUAAUGGGGUAAACCAGGUACUUCAUACCUGAAUACAUAGGGUUUGAAGAGCAAACCCGGGGAACUGAAACAUCUAAGUACCCGGAGGAAAGGACAUCAAUUGAUACUCCCCUAGUAGCGGCGAGCGAACGGGGACCAGCCGAGCCUUGAGAGUGAUCAGAAUGUGUUGGGAAGCACAGCCAUAGUGGGUGAUAGCCCCGUAUGAGAAGCUCGAUGGGACGUAUUAAGUAGGGCGGGACACGUGAAAUCCUGUCUGAAGAUCGGAGGACCACCUUCGAAGGCUAAGUACUCCUUGCUGACCGAUAGUGAACCAGUACCGUGAGGGAAAGGUGAAAAGCACCCCGACGAGGGGAGUGAAACAGUACCUGAAACCGAACGCCUACAAUCAGUCGGAGCUUCCUUGCGAAGUGACGGCGUACCUUUUGUAUAAUGGGUCAUCGACUUGGUCUAUCUAGCAAGCUUAAGCCGUUAGGUGUAGGCGCAGCGAAAGCGAGUCUUAAUAGGGCGCAGAGUUAGAUGGAUCAGACCCGAAACCGAGUGAUCUAGCCAUGACCAGGAUGAAGGUAAGGUAACACUUACUGGAGGUCCGAACCCACACCUGUUGAAAAAGGUCGGGAUGAGUUGUGGCUAGGGGUGAAAGGCUAAUCAAACUCGGAAAUAGCUGGUUCUCCGCGAAAUCUAUUUAGGUAGAGCGUCAUCCGAAUACCCCGGGGGGUAGAGCACUGGAUGGGUAAUGGGGCCCCACAGGCUUACUGAUCCUAACCAAACUCCGAAUACCCGGGAGUACUAGAUGGCAGACACACUGCGGGUGCUAACGCCCGUAGUGGAGAGGGAAACAACCCUGACCUCCAGCUAAGGCCCCCAAUUCAUGGCUAAGUGGGAAAGCAGGUGGGACGACCAAAACAACCAGGAGGUUGGCUUAGAAGCAGCCAUCCUUUAAAGAUAGCGUAACAGCUCACUGGUCUAAUCAAGUUGUCCUGCGGCGAAGAUGUAACGGGGCUCAAGCCAUGAGCCGAAGCUGAGGAUGCGCAUAGCGCAUGGUAGCGGAGCGUAGUGUGACAUAGCACUGAUCUUUACUAUCGCACAUUGGAAGGCUGGGUACGUGCAAACGUGCUCAAGUAGCCGAUAGGCGGUAGCACAAGAUCAUGUGCUUUCGAUGAAGCCGGGGCGUGAGCCAUCCGGUGGAGAGAUCACUAGCGAGAAUGAUGACAUGAGUAGCGACAAAGAGUGUGAGAGACACUCUCGCCGAAAGUCCAAGGGUUCCUGCUUAAAGCUAAUCUGAGCAGGGUAAGCCGGCCCCUAAGGCGAGGCCGAAAGGCGUAGUCGAUGGGAACCAGGUUAAUAUUCCUGGGCCAGAAGGAUGUGACGGAUCGUGGCGACGCAUGUUCCUUAUCGGAUUGGAGCAUGUUCAAGACGGUUCCUGGAAAUAGCCCUUCAUGAGACCGUACCCUAAACCGACACAGGUGGACUGGUAGAGAAUACCAAGGCGCUUGAGAGAACGAUGUUGAAGGAACUCGGCAAAAUACCUCCGUAAGUUCGCGAGAAGGAGGCCCGGUACAUGAGUGCCGGGGGCACAAACCAGGGGGUGGCGACUGUUUAUUAAAAACACAGGGCUCUGCGAAGUCGCAAGACGACGUAUAGGGUCUGACGCCUGCCCGGUGCCUGAAGGUUAAAAGGAGGGGUGAGAGCUCUGAAUUGAAGCCCAGGUAAACGGCGGCCGUAACUAUAACGGUCCUAAGGUAGCGAAAUUCCUUGUCGGGUAAGUUCCGACCUGCACGAAUGGCGUAACGACUUCCCCGCUGUCUCCAACAUCGACUCAGCGAAAUUGAAUUGCCUGUCAAGAUGCAGGCUUCCCGCGGUUAGACGGAAAGACCCCGUGCACCUUCACUACAGCUUCGCACUGGCUUCAGACACAACAUGUGCAGGAUAGGUGGUAGGCUUCGAAGCAGGGACGCCAGUCUCUGUGGAGCCUCCCUUGAGAUACCACCCUUGUUCUGUUUGAAGUCUAACCGCGGUCCGUUAUCCGGAUCCGGGACCCUGCGUGGUGGGUAGUUUGACUGGGGCGGUCGCCUCCUAAAGCGUAACGGAGGCGCGCGAAGGUUGGCUCAGAGCGGUCGGAAAUCGCUCGUUGAGUGCAAUGGCAUAAGCCAGCCUGACUGCGAGACUGACAAGUCGAGCAGAGACGAAAGUCGGCCAUAGUGAUCCGGUGGUCCCAAGUGGGAGGGCCAUCGCUCAACGGAUAAAAGGUACGCCGGGGAUAACAGGCUGAUACUGCCCAAGAGUCCAUAUCGACGGCAGUGUUUGGCACCUCGAUGUCGGCUCAUCUCAUCCUGGGGCUGGAGCAGGUCCCAAGGGUAUGGCUGUUCGCCAUUUAAAGAGGUACGUGAGCUGGGUUUAGAACGUCGUGAGACAGUUCGGUCCCUAUCUGCCGUGGGUGUAGGAUACUUGAGAGGAGUUGCCCCUAGUACGAGAGGACCGGGGUGAACGAACCACUGGUGGACCAGUUGUCGUGCCAACGGCAGUGCUGGGUAGCUAUGUUCGGACAGGAUAACCGCUGAAGGCAUCUAAGCGGGAAGCCCCCCUCAAAACAAGGUAUCCCUGAGGACCGUGGAAGACCACCACGUCAAUAGGCCGGAGAUGUAAGUGCAGCAAUGCAUUCAGUUGACCGGUACUAAUCGUCCGAUAGGCUUGAUUUG